Long non-coding RNA from Bos taurus (domestic cattle), 1427 nucleotides. NCBI's taxonomy places the organism in Eukaryota, Metazoa, Chordata, Mammalia, Artiodactyla, Bovidae. The record is from Ensembl.
UGACCAUUCACUGGAUGGCGAUCAUGCCAAUCCUUGACUCCUGGCAAAUGAGCUUAGAGCUGGCGCUGGAGGAAGUGGUCCCCGGUUGACCUUUAAGCUCCACCUACAGUCGCCAGCCCUUCAGGUUCCUUCCUGCCUGUACACCGCCAUCUCAGCCUCGGUCGUGGUGGGCCAGUCUGCAGGCCACCCCCUUCCAUUCCUGUCGUGGGGCCCACACCAGCAACUUCACAGACUCCUGUUCCCUGUGCAGCUGACAUCUCUGCCGCCCACACCCACACCCUGCGGUCUGUGCUGCCAACGGCAUCUCCUCCGCGACUCUAAGCUCGGCGGCUGCCAUCUUCCCCGUGGACAUCACUGCAGGCCCAUCACCGUCUGGCACAGUCUCUCCUGCCAUGUCUGCCACAGAGGAGCACGACUGGAUGCCAGGUGGCCUGGACAGGGCUGGUGGCAGGGCAGGCUGUGACCCCAGUCCCCUUGGGGUCCUGGCACCUGCUUGGGAGGGGACGGAUGGGGUUGAGGAGGCCGCGGCCCUUCUGGCCUACCUGAGGGUGUCAGGAGGCCUUCGCAGGGGGCACGGUGGGCCACAGGCCACAAUGGAAGAGUGGGCUAUAGAGCCGUUAGAGGAGGAGGAGUCUGAUUUCGAGCUGGAGGACCUGGAGGAGGAGGAGCACCUGUUGGAGGAGGUCGAGGAGGAGGAGACAGUAGAGAAUGAUGAGAGUGAGCAGGAAGGCGCAGCAGUGGUUGCAGGCCACAGGGACCCCUUGGAGCAGUUUGGGCCUGUGUUCUGGGGUCUGGUCCACUCCCUUCUACACAGUUUCUCCUACGAUGACCAUGUCCUGGUCUGGCCCCCUGGCCCCUGCCCGAUGGUCACGCACAGCUCCCAGCCUCCCUCCGGCCCUGGAGAGGGUCCCGCGCCUCUGCAGGAGCGGGAAGACCUGGCAGAGGGAGGCGAAGCCUCGCAGGUUCCGGUCCCAAAGUCUGUAUUAUACUUCACGAAAGAAGCGAGUGAUUAUCAGUAUGAAGAGUCUGAUGAAGAGGUCCAAGAAGCUGAAGGUGAGGAGGAGGACAGCGAUAAAAAACCAGAAGAAGGACCUGGAAAGGACCUGGACCCAGCAGAGGACAGCCCCGGAGAACCCAGCUGUCAAGCAUAGAAAGACAUGAUGGAGGAAGAAACAAUGGACGUGUCCCUCACGAAUGAGAUUUUCGGCUUCUCAGUAGCCAGUGGGAAUUUUAUCAACACUGGUUUUGUUCCAGAUUUCAUCAUGUGAAAUGUCUUAUCCACUGACAUCUGACUUUUUUUCUUACAUUUGUCAGAUAUAUUUGACUGCGUUUGUUCAUGAUAAAAAUAAAAAUUUGCUAGCCAUGGAUAAGCCGCAGAUUUUUCUGAUGUGUAACACUGAUGCAAAUCUUGUAUCUUUUUGUUUUUG